GGUCAAGUGAAGAAGCGCAUACGGUGGAUGCCUUGGCAGUCAGAGGCGAUGAAAGACGUGGUAGCCUGCGAAAAGCUUCGGGGAGUCGGCAAACAGACUUUGAUCCGGAGAUCUCUGAAUGGGGAAACCCACCUAGGAUAACCUAGGUAUCUUGUACUGAAUCCAUAGGUGCAAGAGGCGAACCAGGGGAACUGAAACAUCUAAGUACCCUGAGGAAAAGAAAUCAACCGAGAUUCCCUUAGUAGUGGCGAGCGAACGGGGAUUAGCCCUUAAGCUUCAUUGAUUUUAGCGGAACGCUCUGGAAAGUGCGGCCAUAGUGGGUGAUAGCCCCGUACGCGAAAGGAUCUUUGAAGUGAAAUCGAGUAGGACGGAGCACGAGAAACUUUGUCUGAACAUGGGGGGACCAUCCUCCAAGGCUAAAUACUACUGACUGACCGAUAGUGAACCAGUACCGUGAGGGAAAGGCGAAAAGAACCCCGGAGAGGGGAGUGAAAUAGAACCUGAAACCGUAUGCGUACAAGCAGUGGGAGCCUACUUGUUAGGUGACUGCGUACCUUUUGUAUAAUGGGUCAGCGACUUAUAUUCAGUGGCAAGCUUAACCGUAUAGGGUAGGCGUAGCGAAAGCGAGUCUUAAUAGGGCGUUUAGUCGCUGGGUAUAGACCCGAAACCGGGCGAUCUAUCCAUGAGCAGGUUGAAGGUUAGGUAACACUGACUGGAGGACCGAACCCACUCCCGUUGAAAAGGUAGGGGAUGACUUGUGGAUCGGAGUGAAAGGCUAAUCAAGCUCGGAGAUAGCUGGUUCUCCUCGAAAGCUAUUUAGGUAGCGCCUCAUGUAUCACUCUGGGGGGUAGAGCACUGUUUCGGCUAGGGGGUCAUCCCGACUUACCAAACCGAUGCAAACUCCGAAUACCCAGAAGUGCCGAGCAUGGGAGACACACGGCGGGUGCUAACGUCCGUCGUGAAAAGGGAAACAACCCAGACCGCCAGCUAAGGUCCCAAAGUUGUGGUUAAGUGGUAAACGAUGUGGGAAGGCUUAGACAGCUAGGAGGUUGGCUUAGAAGCAGCCAUCCUUUAAAGAAAGCGUAAUAGCUCACUAGUCGAGUCGGCCUGCGCGGAAGAUGUAACGGGGCUCAAACCACACACCGAAGCUGCGGGUGUCACGUAAGUGACGCGGUAGAGGAGCGUUCUGUAAGCCUGUGAAGGUGAGUUGAGAAGCUUGCUGGAGGUAUCAGAAGUGCGAAUGCUGACAUGAGUAACGACAAUGGGUGUGAAAAACACCCACGCCGAAAGACCAAGGGUUCCUGCGCAACGUUAAUCGACGCAGGGUUAGUCGGUUCCUAAGGCGAGGCUGAAAAGCGUAGUCGAUGGGAAACAGGUUAAUAUUCCUGUACUUCUGGUUACUGCGAUGGAGGGACGGAGAAGGCUAGGCCAGCUUGGCGUUGGUUGUCCAAGUUUAAGGUGGUAGGCUGAAAUCUUAGGUAAAUCCGGGGUUUCAAGGCCGAGAGCUGAUGACGAGUCGUCUUUUAGAUGACGAAGUGGUUGAUGCCAUGCUUCCAAGAAAAGCUUCUAAGCUUCAGGUAACCAGGAACCGUACCCCAAACCGACACAGGUGGUCGGGUAGAGAAUACCAAGGCGCUUGAGAGAACUCGGGUGAAGGAACUAGGCAAAAUGGCACCGUAACUUCGGGAGAAGGUGCGCCGGCUAGGGUGAAGGAUUUACUCCGUAAGCUCUGGCUGGUCGAAGAUACCAGGCCGCUGCGACUGUUUAUUAAAAACACAGCACUCUGCAAACACGAAAGUGGACGUAUAGGGUGUGACGCCUGCCCGGUGCCGGAAGGUUAAUUGAUGGGGUUAGCGCAAGCGAAGCUCUUGAUCGAAGCCCCGGUAAACGGCGGCCGUAACUAUAACGGUCCUAAGGUAGCGAAAUUCCUUGUCGGGUAAGUUCCGACCUGCACGAAUGGCGUAACGAUGGCGGCGCUGUCUCCACCCGAGACUCAGUGAAAUUGAAAUCGCUGUGAAGAUGCAGUGUAUCCGCGGCUAGACGGAAAGACCCCGUGAACCUUUACUGUAGCUUUGCACUGGACUUUGAGCCUGCUUGUGUAGGAUAGGUGGGAGGCUUUGAAGCGUGGACGCCAGUUCGCGUGGAGCCAUCCUUGAAAUACCACCCUGGCAUGCUUGAGGUUCUAACUCUGGUCCGUGAUCCGGAUCGAGGACAGUGUAUGGUGGGCAGUUUGACUGGGGCGGUCUCCUCCUAAAGAGUAACGGAGGAGUACGAAGGUGCGCUCAGACCGGUCGGAAAUCGGUCGCAGAGUAUAAAGGCAAAAGCGCGCUUGACUGCGAGACAGACACGUCGAGCAGGUACGAAAGUAGGUCUUAGUGAUCCGGUGGUUCUGUAUGGAAGGGCCAUCGCUCAACGGAUAAAAGGUACUCCGGGGAUAACAGGCUGAUACCGCCCAAGAGUUCAUAUCGACGGCGGUGUUUGGCACCUCGAUGUCGGCUCAUCACAUCCUGGGGCUGAAGCCGGUCCCAAGGGUAUGGCUGUUCGCCAUUUAAAGUGGUACGCGAGCUGGGUUUAGAACGUCGUGAGACAGUUCGGUCCCUAUCUGCCGUGGACGUUUGAGAUUUGAGAGGGGCUGCUCCUAGUACGAGAGGACCGGAGUGGACGAACCUCUGGUGUUCCGGUUGUCACGCCAGUGGCAUUGCCGGGUAGCUAUGUUCGGAAAAGAUAACCGCUGAAAGCAUCUAAGCGGGAAACUUGCCUCAAGAUGAGAUCUCACUGGGAACUUGAUUCCCCUGAAGGGCCGUCGAAGACUACGACGUUGAUAGGCUGGGUGUGUAAGCGUUGUGAGGCGUUGAGCUAACCAGUACUAAUUGCCCGUGAGGCUUGACCAU
This 2891-nucleotide ribosomal RNA is filed under the name Pseudomonas aeruginosa. Its description in RNAcentral is "23S ribosomal RNA". It matches the Rfam family "Bacterial large subunit ribosomal RNA". The record is from RNAcentral. Lineage: Bacteria; Pseudomonadati; Pseudomonadota; Gammaproteobacteria; Pseudomonadales; Pseudomonadaceae.